This is a long non-coding RNA of Xenia sp. Carnegie-2017, 941 nucleotides long. RefSeq lists it as uncharacterized. Lineage: Eukaryota; Metazoa; Cnidaria; Anthozoa; Malacalcyonacea; Xeniidae. The transcript is spliced from 5 exons. The record is from RefSeq and is a predicted model, not a curated record.
UUUGUCACAUGAUCGUCACGCGGAACCUCGCGUGGGGGAACGUGUACCUUACGUUAUUGUUAACGGCAGACCUGGACUACCAUCGAUUCAAUUGGUUAAAGAUCCUAUUGAUGUGUUAAAUGUUAAAAAUCUACGCCUCAAUACCAUCUACUAUGUUCAGAAACAAAUACUUCCUCCAUUGGAUCGAGUUUUUUCCUUGAUUGGUGUUGAUGUGUUUCCAUGGUAUACACAACUACCCCGCUAUAUCCCUCGACAUCGUGUUAUUGCAAGGAAACAAAAACACGGUUUGUGUCAAAGUUGUCGUAGCAACCCUCAAAAGUCUGUCUUUAUUCUGGGAAGUAGAGUGGGGAACUGGGAAAGAAAAUACAGUCAUCUUAAAGAGAUAUGUUUUCAGUGUUGUGGAGCUAGAGAUGAAAAACUGAGCUGUAUAUCACUGGAUUGUCCUGUUAUGUUUAAACUAGAGAAGUUAAAAACAAAUAUGGAAUAUGGAAUGACAUUAAAAGACUUUCAAAAAAACAAUUGAAGAAUGUUAUGGUCAGUCAGAGUACAAAUCUAAAGGGUUUUGGAAUUCCAGUAAGUUAUAAUGGAUCAUAAUGGAUCAUCAUUUCGCUAUUCUGUCAAGGAUUGCCAUCUAAUACAGGUAUAAAUGUACAUAAAUGAUCACAAGAAAUAUUUUUUUGCUCAAUUAACAAAACUUCUUUGGAUAUACUAAACAAUGUCAUUUCUAUUAUUAGUAAAAUAUCUUUUGUUUCUGGACCACUAACAUUGUUUCAUUGUAACUCAUUAUUUUCGAUAUCAACAGACACAUAAAUGCAAGCAAAAAAUGAAUUAAGCAUAGACGGACAAACAACGAAGCACGCAACAUAGAUAUCAAAAUAAGCCGAAUAACAAAUAGUCACUUUUAAACAACUUUCAUGUUAAUAAAAUUUUUAAUUCUUCAA